AUGCUACUAAUAGUAAGAGAUGAGAAAGUCCUUUUUUACAAGGCAGUGAAUCACUGUGAUGUUGGCGCAAAACACACAAGAUCACUGGUGUUUGGAUCUGGCACUAAACUCAUAGUGGAACCAGGUGUGAACCACCCUUCUCCACCAUCUGUCUUUGUGUUGAAGCCUGUGACUGCAGGAUCCACCACUGCCUGCCUAGUGAAAGAUUUCUACCCUGAUGGUGUGGAGAUCUACAUGAAUUCUACCAAGCAAAGUUCUGGUCCAGUAAGAGGGAAUUCGAUCCUAUCUCCCAAAGGGAAGUAUAGUGCAGUCCACUUGCACAGGCUUGGGACAGAUAAUGUACACUGUCAGGUCAAGCACCAGGACACAUGGGUGACAGACAAGGACACUAUCUACAACCCCAAAGAUUCUGAUAUUGGGACUGAAGAAGAGACAGAACUAAAAAGGAAACAAUGUGAUCAAAAAAGUAUUGCACCUCCAGUACUCCAUGAGAGAGCUAACAUGCUUUCCAUCUCUGUUCUGGGAAUGAGACUGCUUUUUGCCAAAACUCUGGCUUUCAACCUGCUCCUUAGUGCAAAGUUCUUCGUUCUGUAA
This is a non-coding RNA of Spea bombifrons (plains spadefoot toad), 594 nucleotides long. The record is from the annotation of a RefSeq genome assembly. NCBI's taxonomy places the organism in Eukaryota, Metazoa, Chordata, Amphibia, Anura, Pelobatidae.